This 400-nucleotide long non-coding RNA is filed under the name Carica papaya (papaya). Its description in RNAcentral is "long non-coding RNA (CPAP_LNC012145)". Lineage: Eukaryota; Viridiplantae; Streptophyta; Magnoliopsida; Brassicales; Caricaceae. The record is from RNAcentral.
GAUAAUUCUGGAGGUAGUGUCAGUUUAUAGGCAGCAGUGUCAAUUCUGUCUAAAAUUUCAAAUGGCCUAAUAAACCGGGAAUUUAGUUUCCCUCUCUUGCCAAACCUAUUGAUUCCCUUGAAAGUAGUGACCUUAAGGAACACUUGAUCACCUUUCUCAAAUUCCAAAUCUCUCAUCCGGGUGUCCACAUAACUAUUCUGUUUGCUUUGAGCCGUUUGGAUCUUCUUCCUGAUCUUAACUAUUUUGGUUGUAGUAUCCUCUACAAGAUCUGAGCCGAACAAUUUUCUAUCACCCACAUUUUCCCAACAGAUCGGUGAUCUGCAUGGGUGGUCAUAUAACGCCUCGUACGGAGUCAUGUCGAUACUUGCUUGAUAGCUACUAUUGUAGGCGAACUCUAUUA